UGGGGAAUUUUGGACAAUGGGCGCAAGCCUGAUCCAGCCAUGCCGCGUGUCUGAAGAAGGCCUUCGGGUUGUAAAGGACUUUUGUCAGGGAAGAAAAGGCUGUUGCUAAUAUCGACAGCUGAUGACGGUACCUGAAGAAUAAGCACCGGCUAACUACGUGCCAGCAGCCGCGGUAAUACGUAGGGUGCGAGCGUUAAUCGGAAUUACUGGGCGUAAAGCGAGCGCAGACGGUUACUUAAGCAGGAUGUGAAAUCCCCGGGCUCAACCUGGGAACUGCGUUCUGAACUGGGUGACUAGAGUGUGUCAGAGGGAGGUAGAAUUCCACGUGUAGCAGUGAAAUGCGUAGAGAUGUGGAGGAAUACCGAUGGCGAAGGCAGCCUCCUGGGAUAACACUGACGUUCAUGCUCGAAAGCGUGGGUAGCAAACA
Molecule: ribosomal RNA, 427 nt
Filed under: uncultured bacterium
Lineage: Bacteria
Description: bacterial SSU rRNA
Rfam family: Bacterial small subunit ribosomal RNA
Source: RNAcentral